AUGUGUCUAAUAGUCGGACAGGGGAGUACUACCAAACAUCCAAAAAAAAAAACACGUUUGCCAUUGGUAAAUUGUUCGGACAAUAAAUUAAUUGUCUUAAAUCGAUUUCUGGGAAAAAGAAAGGAAGGCAAGGUGAAGCCGGGGGCACCGCAACAAAAGGCAAUGAAACGCAGGCUCACUGGCAAGGCUGAGCUAGUAGCGACUCGAAGCCGGGGAGGUCUCAGGGUGUGGGGUGGGCUGCCGACGCUAGAGAAUAAGGACUGUGAGGGCUUAUGGGGAAGGCUAGGGUCACAGGGGCUUAUACGGAAGGCGGCAUGA
This 318-nucleotide ribosomal RNA is filed under the name Triticum aestivum (bread wheat). RNAcentral describes it as "partial small subunit ribosomal RNA". Lineage: Eukaryota; Viridiplantae; Streptophyta; Magnoliopsida; Poales; Poaceae. The record is from RNAcentral.